This 440-nucleotide ribosomal RNA is filed under the name uncultured bacterium. RNAcentral's name for it is "partial 16S ribosomal RNA". It matches the Rfam family "Bacterial small subunit ribosomal RNA", at positions 338 to 795 of the family's 1533-position model. The record is from RNAcentral.
CCUACGGGAGGCUGCAGUGGGGAAUAUUGCACAAUGGGGGAAACCCUGAUGCAGCGACGCCGCGUGAGUGAAGAAGUAAUUCGUUAUGUAAAGCUCUAUCAGCAGGGAAGAAAAUGACGGUACCUGAGUCAGAACCGCCGGCUAACUACGUGCCAGCAGCCGCGGUAAUACGUAGGGUGCAAGCGGUAUCCGGAUUUACUGGGGGUAAAGGGAGCGUAGACGGCAGUGCAAGUCUGGAGUGAAAGGCGGGGGGUCAACCCCCGGACUGCUCUGGAAACUGUACGGCUGGAGUGCAGGAGAGGUAAGUGGAAUGCCUAGUGUAGCGGUGAAAUGCGUAGAUAUUAGGAGGAACACCAGUGGCGAAGGCGGCUUACUGGACUGUAACUGACGUUGAGGCUCGAAAGCGUGGGGAGCAAACAGGAUUAGAUACCCGGGUAGUC